This 74-nucleotide transfer RNA is filed under the name Nitrospirales bacterium. Its description in RNAcentral is "tRNA-Gln". It matches the Rfam family "tRNA". From Rfam's summary of the family: Transfer RNA (tRNA) molecules are approximately 80 nucleotides in length. Their secondary structure includes four short double-helical elements and three loops (D, anti-codon, and T loops). Further hydrogen bonds mediate the characteristic L-shaped molecular structure. tRNAs have two regions of fundamental functional importance: the anti-codon, which is responsible for specific mRNA codon recognition, and the 3' end, to which the tRNAs corresponding amino acid is attached (by aminoacyl-tRNA synthetases). tRNAs cope with the degeneracy of the genetic code in two manners: having more than one tRNA (with a specific anti-codon) for a particular amino acid; and 'wobble' base-pairing, i.e. permitting non-standard base-pairing at the 3rd anti-codon position. Lineage: Bacteria; Pseudomonadati; Nitrospirota; Nitrospiria; Nitrospirales. The record is from RNAcentral.
UGGGGGAUCGUCCAGUGGUAGGACAUCAGAUUUUGGAUCUGAGAACCUGGGUUCGAUGCCCAGUCCCCCAGCCA